GUGCCAGCAGCCGCGGUAAUACGUAGGGGGCAAGCGUUGUCCGGAUUUAUUGGCCGUAAAGAGCUCGUAGGUGGUUCGGUAAGUCGGAUGUGAAAUCUCCAGGCUCAACCUGGAGGGGUCAUUCGAUACUGCCGUGACUAGAGUUCGGUAGGGGAGUGUGGAAUUCCUGGCGGAGCGGUGAAAUGCGCAGAUAUCAGGAGGAACACCCGUAGCGAAGGCGGCACUCUGGGCCGAUACUGACACUGAGGAGCGAAAGCGUGGGGAGCGAACAGGAUUAGAUACCCCUGUAGUCA
Molecule: ribosomal RNA, 293 nt
Filed under: uncultured bacterium
Lineage: Bacteria
Description: partial 16S ribosomal RNA
Rfam family: Bacterial small subunit ribosomal RNA
Source: RNAcentral